GAGUGCUUGAAAUUGCGGGAGGGAAGCGGAUGGGGACGGCGAUGCACCUCGGUUGGAUGCGAACGGCGGUUAACCGGUCCGCCUUCGGCCGCCGGGGUGCGGAUCGAUCGCGGGCUGCAUCGACGGCCGGCUUGGGACGGAUCGUUCGUUCGAGGGGAUACCGUCGAUCGGUCGAGGACAUGACGACGCCAUCAGCGUGCCUUGCGGGUACACGCGGCGACCUAGGCAUCGGCCGGUGGGCUCCCCAUUCGACCCAUCUUGAAACACGGACCAAGGAGUCCGACAUGCGCGUGCGAAGUCGACGCAAGGUGCGAAACCCGGAAGGCACAAGGAAGCUAACGGGCGGGAACCCUCUCGAGGGGUUGCACCGCCGGCCGACCCCGAUCUUCUGUGAGGGUUCGAGUUGGAGCAUGCAUGUCGGGACCCGAAAGAUGGUGAACUGUGCCGCGGUAAUUCCGGCUCCAAUAGCGUAUAUUUAAGUUUUUGCAGUUAAAAAGCUCGUAGUUGGACUUUGGGACGGGUCGGUCUUUCUGCCUCGCGGUGUGCACCGGUCGUCCCAUCCCUUCUGUCGGCGAUGCGUGCCUGGCCUUCACUGGCCGGGUCGUGCCUCCGGCGCUAUUACUUUGAAGAAAUUAGAGUGCUCAAAGCAAGCCCACGCUCUGGAUACAUUAGCAUGGGAUAACAUCACAGGAUUUCGGUCCUAUUGUGUUGGCCUUGGGAUCGGAGUAAUGAUUAAGAGGGACAGUGGGGCAUUCGUAUUUCAUAGUCGAGGUGAAAUUCUUGGAUUUAUGAAAGACGAACCCACUGAAAAAGCAUUUGCCAAGGAUGUUUUCAUUAAUCAAGAACCAAAGUUGGGGACUCGAAGAUGAUCGAUACCGCCCUAGUCUCAACCAUAAACGAUGCCGACCAGGGAUCGGCGGAUGUUGUCUUAGGACUCACGGCACCUUAUGAGAAAUCAAAGUCUUUGGGUUAGGGGGGGAGUAUGGUCGCAAGGCUAAAACUUAAAGGAAUUGACGGAAGGGCACCACCAGGAGUGGAGCCUGCGGCUUAAUUUGACUCAACACGGGAAACUUACCGGGUCCGGAUAUAGCAAGGAUUGAUGAUCGAGAGCUCUUUCUUGAUUCUAUGGGUGGUGGUGCAUGGCCGUUCUUAGUUGGUGGAGCGAUUUGUCGGGUUAAGUCCGAUAACUAACGAGACCCUCACCGCUAACUAGCUACGCUGGAGGCAUCCCUCCACUCCCAACUUCUUAGAGGGACUAUGGUCGUUUAGGCCACGGAAGUUUGAGGCAAUAACAGGUCUGUGAUGCCCUUAGAUGUUCUGGGCGCACACGCUGCCAAUCGAUAUAUUCAACGAGUCUAUAGCCUUGGCCGACAGGCCGGGUAAUCUUUGAAAAUUUCAUCGUGAUGGGGAUAGAUCAUUGCAAUUGUUGGUCUUCAACGAGGAAUUCCUAAAGCGCGAGUCAUCAGCUCGCGUUGACUAUGUCCAUGCCCUUUGUACACACCGCCGUCGCUCCUACCCAUUGAAUGGUCCGGUGAAGUGUUCGAUCGAGCGACGGGCGGUUCGUCGCCCAUGACGUCGUGAGAAGUCCACUGAACCUUAUCAUUUAGAGGAAGGAGAAGUCGUAACAAAGGUUUCCAUAGGUGAACCUCGCGGAAG
This 1656-nucleotide ribosomal RNA is filed under the name Musa schizocarpa. Its description in RNAcentral is "SSU rRNA". The stretch from base 429 to 1656 matches the Rfam family "Eukaryotic small subunit ribosomal RNA". The record is from RNAcentral. Lineage: Eukaryota; Viridiplantae; Streptophyta; Magnoliopsida; Zingiberales; Musaceae.